Molecule: transfer RNA, 77 nt
Filed under: uncultured Frankineae bacterium
Lineage: Bacteria; Bacillati; Actinomycetota; Actinomycetes; Frankiales
Description: tRNA-Leu-CAA
Rfam family: tRNA
About the family: Transfer RNA (tRNA) molecules are approximately 80 nucleotides in length.
Source: RNAcentral
GCCCCCGUAGCCCAACCGGCAGAGGCACGGGUCUCAAAAUCCCGACGGUGUGGGUUCGAAUCCCACCGGGGGCACCG